This 1792-nucleotide ribosomal RNA is filed under the name Staphylococcus aureus 9P9. RNAcentral's name for it is "bacterial LSU rRNA". It matches the Rfam family "Bacterial large subunit ribosomal RNA", at positions 1129 to 2925 of the family's 2925-position model. The record is from RNAcentral. Lineage: Bacteria; Bacillati; Bacillota; Bacilli; Caryophanales; Staphylococcaceae.
AGUGCGUAAUAGCUCACUAGUCGAGUGACACUGCGCCGAAAAUGUACCGGGGCUAAACAUAUUACCGAAGCUGUGGAUUGUCCUUUGGACAAUGGUAGGAGAGCGUUCUAAGGGCGUUGAAGCAUGAUCGUAAGGACAUGUGGAGCGCUUAGAAGUGAGAAUGCCGGUGUGAGUAGCGAAAGACGGGUGAGAAUCCCGUCCACCGAUUGACUAAGGUUUCCAGAGGAAGGCUCGUCCGCUCUGGGUUAGUCGGGUCCUAAGCUGAGGCCGACAGGCGUAGGCGAUGGAUAACAGGUUGAUAUUCCUGUACCACCUAUAAUCGUUUUAAUCGAUGGGGGGACGCAGUAGGAUAGGCGAAGCGUGCGAUUGGAUUGCACGUCUAAGCAGUAAGGCUGAGUAUUAGGGAAAUCCGGUACUCAUUAAGGCUGAGCUGUGAUGGGGAGAAGACAUUGUGUCUUCGAGUCGUUGAUUUCACACUGCCGAGAAAAGCCUCUAGAUAGAAAAUAGGUGCCCGUACCGCAAACCGACACAGGUAGUCAAGAUGAGAAUUCUAAGGUGAGCGAGCGAACUCUCGUUAAGGAACUCGGCAAAAUGACCCCGUAACUUCGGGAGAAGGGGUGCUCUUUAGGGUUAACGCCCAGAAGAGCCGCAGUGAAUAGGCCCAAGCGACUGUUUAUCAAAAACACAGGUCUCUGCUAAACCGUAAGGUGAUGUAUAGGGGCUGACGCCUGCCCGGUGCUGGAAGGUUAAGAGGAGUGGUUAGCUUCUGCGAAGCUACGAAUCGAAGCCCCAGUAAACGGCGGCCGUAACUAUAACGGUCCUAAGGUAGCGAAAUUCCUUGUCGGGUAAGUUCCGACCCGCACGAAAGGCGUAACGAUUUGGGCACUGUCUCAACGAGAGACUCGGUGAAAUCAUAGUACCUGUGAAGAUGCAGGUUACCCGCGACAGGACGGAAAGACCCCGUGGAGCUUUACUGUAGCCUGAUAUUGAAAUUCGGCACAGCUUGUACAGGAUAGGUAGGAGCCUUUGAAACGUGAGCGCUAGCUUACGUGGAGGCGCUGGUGGGAUACUACCCUAGCUGUGUUGGCUUUCUAACCCGCACCACUUAUCGUGGUGGGAGACAGUGUCAGGCGGGCAGUUUGACUGGGGCGGUCGCCUCCUAAAAGGUAACGGAGGCGCUCAAAGGUUCCCUCAGAAUGGUUGGAAAUCAUUCAUAGAGUGUAAAGGCAUAAGGGAGCUUGACUGCGAGACCUACAAGUCGAGCAGGGUCGAAAGACGGACUUAGUGAUCCGGUGGUUCCGCAUGGAAGGGCCAUCGCUCAACGGAUAAAAGCUACCCCGGGGAUAACAGGCUUAUCUCCCCCAAGAGUUCACAUCGACGGGGAGGUUUGGCACCUCGAUGUCGGCUCAUCGCAUCCUGGGGCUGUAGUCGGUCCCAAGGGUUGGGCUGUUCGCCCAUUAAAGCGGUACGCGAGCUGGGUUCAGAACGUCGUGAGACAGUUCGGUCCCUAUCCGUCGUGGGCGUAGGAAAUUUGAGAGGAGCUGUCCUUAGUACGAGAGGACCGGGAUGGACAUACCUCUGGUGUACCAGUUGUCGUGCCAACGGCAUAGCUGGGUAGCUAUGUGUGGACGGGAUAAGUGCUGAAAGCAUCUAAGCAUGAAGCCCCCCUCAAGAUGAGAUUUCCCAACUUCGGUUAUAAGAUCCCUCAAAGAUGAUGAGGUUAAUAGGUUCGAGGUGGAAGCAUGGUGACAUGUGGAGCUGACGAAUACUAAUCGAUCGAAGACUUAAUCAA